Gossypium raimondii (Peruvian cotton) is the source of this 107-nucleotide small nucleolar RNA. It matches the Rfam family "Plant small nucleolar RNA R71". From Rfam's summary of the family: R71 is a member of the C/D box family of snoRNAs containing the C (UGAUGA) and D (CUGA) box motifs. Multiple nearly identical copies of this snoRNA have been identified in Arabidopsis, and it is thought to function as a 2'-O-ribose methylation guide for 18S ribosomal RNA. The record is from Rfam. NCBI's taxonomy places the organism in Eukaryota, Viridiplantae, Streptophyta, Magnoliopsida, Malvales, Malvaceae.
AAUCCAUAGUGAGGACACCUUCUCUACAAAUCCUUGAAUCUCUCUCAUGUAUCAUAAAGAGUCUCAAAAUCAAACUGAACAAAAACAUAGAUGUCAUUCCUCAACUU